CGCGUAGGCGGGUUCUCAAGUCAGGGGUGAAAUCUUUCGGCUUAACCGGAAAAGUGCCCCUGAUACUGAGAGUCUCGAGGGAGGUAGGGGCAUGUGGAACUAAUGGUGGAGCGGUGAAAUGCGUAGAUAUCAUUAGGAACGCCGGUGGCGAAAGCGACGUGCUGGACCUCUUCUGACGCUGAGGCGCGAAAGCUAGGGGAGCAAACG
This 207-nucleotide ribosomal RNA is filed under the name uncultured bacterium. RNAcentral describes it as "partial 16S ribosomal RNA". It matches the Rfam family "Bacterial small subunit ribosomal RNA", at positions 568 to 774 of the family's 1533-position model. The record is from RNAcentral.